UGAGAGGUCCUGCCUGCCCCGUGACCAUGUGUUCAACGGCCGCGGUAUUUUGACCGUGCAAAGGUAGCGCAAUCACUUGUCUUUUAAAUAAAGACCUGUAUGAAUGGCAAGACGAGGGCUUGACUGUCUCCUUUUUCAAGUCAAUGAAAUUGAUCUUCCCGUGCAGAAGCGGGAAUUUUUCCAUAAGACGAGAAGACCCUAUGGAGCUUCAGACACUAAGACAGAUUAGGUCAAAGCCCCCUAAUAAAGGACUGAACUGACUAACCCCUGCCCUAAUGUCUUCGGUUGGGGCGACCCCGGGGAAUUACAAAACCCCCGAGUGGAAAGAGAGCACCCCCCCCCCCCUUUUUACCCUUACAACUAAAAACCCCCCCUCUAAAAAAAAAAAUUUUUAACCAAAACAAAUCCGGCAAAGCCAAUAAACGGACCAAUUUACCCUAGGGAAAAAAGCGCAAUCCUCUUUCAAAAUCCCUAUCGACAAAAGGGUUU
RNAcentral lists this ribosomal RNA (489 nucleotides) under Chrysochir aurea (Reeve's croaker). Its description in RNAcentral is "partial small subunit ribosomal RNA". It matches the Rfam family "Bacterial large subunit ribosomal RNA", at positions 1846 to 2519 of the family's 2925-position model. The record is from RNAcentral. Lineage: Eukaryota; Metazoa; Chordata; Actinopteri; Sciaenidae.